AGAGAGAAAAAUAUGUGGUCUUCUUCUUCCCUAAGUGAACAAACAACAAAAUCCUAGCCUUUCACAUUCUUCUUCAACCUCCAUAGCUGCCCCCCAUGGCCACUGUACAUUCCCCACGACAGAAAAACUACCAUCGUCAUCCUCAGCUGCCUAACCCAACCCCCACAUCGUCACUCUGUACUAAAUGACCACCCAGCCGCCAGACAGACUCAUCUCCGUUAACCAGCCUCCUGCAAAGCUGUUGCCUCCACGACCAACAACCACUAGCG
Molecule: long non-coding RNA, 269 nt
Filed under: Nicotiana benthamiana
Lineage: Eukaryota; Viridiplantae; Streptophyta; Magnoliopsida; Solanales; Solanaceae
Description: long non-coding RNA (NBEN_LNC023275)
Source: RNAcentral